This 441-nucleotide ribosomal RNA is filed under the name uncultured bacterium. RNAcentral describes it as "bacterial SSU rRNA". It matches the Rfam family "Bacterial small subunit ribosomal RNA", at positions 28 to 513 of the family's 1533-position model. The record is from RNAcentral.
GAUAAACGCUGGCGGCGUGCCUAACACAUGCAAGUCGAACGAUCCCGCAAGGGAGAGUGGCGGAAGGGUGAGUAACACGUGGGAAUCUACCUCCUCGCAGGGAACAACCUCUCGAAAGAGAGGCUAAUACCCAAAAGGGUCAGAAAUGAUCAGAGUCGAAAGGCGUGAGGAGAGGAGCCCGCGGCCCAUCAGCUAGUUGGUGAGGUAAUGGCUUACCAAGGCUACGACGGGUAGGGGAUCUGAGAGGAUGUCCCCCCCACUGGAACUGAAACACGGUCCAGACGCCUACGGGUGGCAGCAGUGAGGAAUAUUGGACAAUGGGCGAAAGCCCGAUCCAGCAACGCCGCGUGGAGGAUGAAGGCCUUGGUCGUAAACUUCUUUAGAGGGAGACGAGAAAGGACGGUAUCCCUAGAAUAAGCGACGGCAAACUACGUGCCAGCA